Molecule: ribosomal RNA, 658 nt
Filed under: uncultured bacterium
Lineage: Bacteria
Description: bacterial SSU rRNA
Rfam family: Bacterial small subunit ribosomal RNA
Source: RNAcentral
AGUCGAGCGGUAGAGAGGUGCUUGCACCUCUUGAGAGCGGCGGACGGGUGAGUAAAGCCUAGGAAUCUGCCUGGUAGUGGGGGAUAACGCUCGGAAACGGACGCUAAUACCGCAUACGUCCUACGGGAGAAAGCAGGGGACCUUCGGGCCUUGCGCUAUCAGAUGAGCCUAGGUCGGAUUAGCUAGUUGGUGAGGUAAUGGCUCACCAAGGCGACGAUCCGUAACUGGUCUGAGAGGAUGAUCAGUCACACUGGAACUGAGACACGGUCCAGACUCCUACGGGAGGCAGCAGUGGGGAAUAUUGGACAAUGGGCGAAAGCCUGAUCCAGCCAUGCCGCGUGUGUGAAGAAGGUCUUCGGAUUGUAAAGCACUUUAAGUUGGGAGGAAGGGCAUUAACCUAAUACGUUAGUGUUUUGACGUUACCGACAGAAUAAGCACCGGCUAACUCUGUGCCAGCAGCCGCGGUAAUACAGAGGGUGCAAGCGUUAAUCGGAAUUACUGGGCGUAAAGCGCGCGUAGGUGGUUCGUUAAGUUGGAUGUGAAAUCCCCGGGCUCAACCUGGGAACUGCAUUCAAAACUGUCGAGCUAGAGUAUGGUAGAGGGUGGUGGAAUUUCCUGUGUAGCGGUGAAAUGCGUAGAUAUAGGAAGGAACACCAGU